This is a long non-coding RNA of Pan troglodytes (chimpanzee), 4185 nucleotides long. RefSeq lists it as uncharacterized. The record is from RefSeq and is a predicted model, not a curated record. The transcript is spliced from 3 exons. Lineage: Eukaryota; Metazoa; Chordata; Mammalia; Primates; Hominidae.
AAAAUAGCAAAGGCGCAAAUUGGAGCUUUUCCGUCUCUCUUUGCCAAUUUCCAUUCUCCAGCGGAAGCGGGGGCAUUUUCUGAAAAGCUUUCUGAGUCCUCAUUGGAAGUGGAGCAGAUGUCCAGUGCCAUGAUUCCUGUUCAGCCUGUGGAACUAACUUUCUUCAGUUUGUCUCUCCAGGAAGGAUGAGCACCUCCACACUCAAGGUUUGACUAUGUUGAAGCUACAUCAUUGAUCAUCAAAUCAGAAGAAACAAGGAGUUGUUUUAGUCUUCACUGGAAGCACACCUAUGUGACCUUGAGCAAGUGUAUUCAGCCAUUCUUGGUCUCCCUUUCCCCAUCUGUAAAAUGUGUGGUUUGUUGAUGACUGGUCUGUGGAUCUGUUGCAUCAGAAUCACCUGGAAAGCUGUUGAAAAUGCUAAUUUUCAGGUCCUAGCCCACUCACGAAUAUCUUUGCAGUUGGGCCAGGGUAUCUGUAGUUUCAUACACACACAGACACACAAGUGUGUGCGUGCACGCACAUACAUACAGAGUCACUCCCAAGUGACUUGGAUCCACAGCAGGGUUUGGGACACACUGGAUUAAACAAUCUUCCUGCUUGCCUGAAUUCAGAGGCAAAAAAAUAGCCCUGGGAAGUAUCCUUUAAUAGAAGGCCAGGAAAAAGGAUCAGCCUCUUUGCAGAAGCAGGUUUGGUGCUUCAGGGAGCUACCAAGACUAUCUUCUUAAGAAACAAUCCCCACUUCCCAGGCUUCUCUUUCAUUCUACCUGGGCAUUCAGUGUAUAAUGCAUAUGUAGCCUACAAAGUCAAAGAACUGGCUUUCUGUGCAUUUUAUUUAAAUUGGUUUUAAGGAAAGUGGUUAAAGAGGAGAACUGAGGUAAAUGAAAGUUAAUCCACUUAUUUUACUUGCACUCUGCCUUUUAAGAAACCCUCUUAACUAUAUUCUGAGUGCCAAUAAAUAACAAGGAAAUAUUAGCAAGUUGAUUUUGUCUGUGAUUUCUGCAACUUUCUGUUUUAAUUGACAGAACCUCAAGAGCUGAAAAAAGGAAUCAUAUAAUCAAGACAGAUUAUAGAUCAAAUAAUUUUAUUAAAUGAGAAAACUGAAGAAAAUCAAAAUGCAAACAGGCAAUACCAUUACAUAAAAAUUUGACUCAAUUAAUAAUUAGUCACUCCACAUCACAAUUGUUUGAGGCACCAGUUUUCCUGCAUUUACAGAUAAAGAAACUGAGGUCAAAUGCACAAGAUUUCAUAGAGUAGGUGACAUAGAAAUUCAGUCCAGGUCCAAGGUCUCUAAUGCCACGUUCCAGAGAUGUUUUUAGCAGGCUUAUUUAUGAACCAGAAAUAGUAUAUAAAUGUUUAGGGAAUAUACUACACAUCUACUUGAUGUAUGCAGUCAUUAAAAUGGGUAAGCACCCUUACAUCCUGCAGAUGAGAGAAUAAAUUGGUACCAUUGAGCCAGGUGCAGUGGCUCUUGCCCAUAGUCUGAACUACUCGGGAGGCUGAAGUGGGAGGAUUGCUUGAGCCCAGGAGUAUGAGGCUGCAGUGAGCUGUGAUUGCACUACUGCAUUCCAGCCUGGGCAACAAAGCGAGACCCACCUCUUAAAAAAACAAAAAUAAAAAUAAAAAAUAACUGAUGCAAUCAUUCCAGAAAGCAAUUUAGCAAUCUCCAUAAAGUGUCUUUUCAAAGUUCAUACUCUUUGCCCCAGUAAUUCACUCUCUGGGAACUUAUCCUAAGGUAAUAAUCAGAAAUUUGGCAAGAGGCUUAUUUGCAAAACUGUGCAUUAAAACAGUACUUUAAAAAAUGAAAAACCUAGAAGGAAACUAAAGGUUCCAAAUUAAUGAGUUAGAUAAGUGAUAGCUCUUUGUAUGUUAUAAUAUCACAUAAAUACAAAAAUAAUGGUGUUCUAAUGGUGUAGGAAACUGUUUAUAAUAUUUUAAGGAAAAGGGCAUGAUCAAAAUAUUGUAUGUAUACUAUGAUCCCAAUUUUGUUGAAAGAAAAAUGUGUGCAUGUGUAAAGAAAACAGGACUGAAAAGAAAUACAUUAGCAUAUUUAAAGUGUCUUAAAAUGUAAAAGAGUGUUAAGGUGGUUCUCUCCCUAUGGUGAAAUUAGAGUUCAUUCUUUAGUCUCUUCUUUGAGCCUUUCAGAAUUUUGAAUUCUUGUUAGUAAGAAACAAACCACUUUUAUGAUCAGAAGGAACACAAUGUUAUUUUUGAGAGAAAUGAAAACUGCAGAUUAUAAAAAAGUAAUAACAGAAAAAUCCUAUGAUGUGUUUAGUAAAAAAAUAAAAAUUGCAUACACAGUAGAGUUUAUGAAGAUAUGCACAUAAAUAAUUAUAACUCUGCAGAGGAAGGAUUAGAUGAAAGCACAACAAAAUAUUAAAGAUGUUUGGGUUUAAAUGGCAAAAAUAAAGUGAAUCUCUUCUAUAGCUUUUUAUUUUCAAAAAUUGUAUUAAAGCCAGGCGCAAUGGCUCACCCCUGUAAUCCCAGCACUUUGUGAGGCCAAGGCGGGCAGACCACCUGAGGUCAGGAGUUCAAGAUCAGCCUGGCCAACAUGGUGAAACCCCGUCUCUACUAAAAACAUAAAAAUUAGCCAGGUGUGGUGGCGCAUGCAUGUAGUCUCAGCUACUCAGGAGACUGAGACAGGAGAAUCGCUUGAACCCAGGAGGCAGAGGUUGCAGUGAGCCGAGGUUGCAGUGAGCCGAGAUUGCAUCACUCUACUCCAGCCUGGGUGACAGAGAGAGACUCCGUCUCAAACAAAAAUUUGUAUUAACGUGAUUUUUAAAUAAUGUUUACAUGUUCCUUCAUCUUCCCUGCCACCUCCAUCCCCAAUUCUCACAACCUAGGGUGCUGUGCAGCUAAGAGCACACAAGCUGUAGAAUCAGUCACAAGUGAGCUCCCACCUUGGCUCUGAAAUUCACUUGCUGUGUGUCCUUUGGCAAUUAUUUUCUUUGAGAAACUCAUAUGAAAAAUAGCAUAGCACCUGGCUCCCCAGAUUACCAGGAUCAUGAAAGGAGAUGAUGGAUGCUAAUUGCUUAGCAUAUUUCUGCUAGAAUCACUAGAGCUUUGUGGCCAUUAGAGUUGGGGUGCUUGAUGAGUCUGGGGUUUUCACUAGCGUGUCUUCGGCUUCACUCUUGAUCUUACUUUGCCAGGCCCCAGAAAAGUAGGGGUGAAGUUGGCAGGUCUUCUGAACCCUGCUUGUAGCAUGAGAAAACUAGUCAAUAGUCUAGAGAGGAGAACUUGGAUGAAAACAUGUUCUUCCUAGUCCCACAAUGGAUGUCUCUGUCUUGGGUAACCCACUUGGAAUUCAAAGUGAAUUCCAACUUUGGUCAGUGUGCUCAACCUUGGGUUAUUGAACUUCAACUCAAAGAUGUGUUUUUAAUCAAUGCCUUUCUUUCUUCUAAAUACACAUGCUUUUAAGGAAUAAUGGCGGGUGCUCAGAUAGGGCAUGGAGAGGCAUACAUAUAGACACACACAAGGAUGCCCGCCAAUAUCUUUCUGCAGGACGUCCAUUCUGUCUCGUGGUCCAUCAUUCAAUUCAAGCCUUUGGGUCAACUCCCUAACUCUCCUAAAAUGAAAUAUUAAUGUGUAUUCAAUCACAUGUCAGUGUCAUGCAUUUGUUAGGGACUUCCUCUAAUCAGAUAGCUGGGAAUGAGGUCUGAGGGAACAUGGGUUUUGAAGACAAAGUAAUUUCAAAAUUCGGGACACUAGCUGAGUCUAGUCUAAGUGUAGAGUCAAAGGCAAGGAGGUGAGGAACUCAUGGAGACUGCCCAGCUCUGUGCUGGUGAAAAGCAGCUACCUUCAGUUCUUCAUUGCCCUCAGCUCUAAAAUGGCCCAGUGGUUCAGGCUUUCUCUGCCUCUUGAAAUCAUCCUUAUUUUUUAGUAUUAACAGAUACUAGUGGUUCAGGGCAUGAGGUCUAAGUCAGUCACACAUGGACUCCAAGUCAGAAUUCCCAUCUUAGCUGUGGAACCUCAAAGAAUGUUUUGAAAUGAUGGCACCUUCUACCAAGAAGUGCUGGAAUGAUCAAGUGAGAUGUUACAACUAGGCAACAGCACGGAUUGUGGCACUAAAAAAGCCUUCAAUAAAUAGGAACAAGUAUUAUUCUACUCCUUGAGCUUACUUGUAUUCUUAAUGACUUCUGCAGUUCCAAAAUUCCUUGCUCUCAUGGAAAACAAACAUGCAACCUUCUC